AUUGAACGCUGGCGGAAUGCUUUACACAUGCAAGUCGAACGGCAGCACGGACUUCGGUCUGGUGGCGAGUGGCGAACGGGUGAGUAAUGUAUCGGAACGUGCCCAGUCGUGGGGGAUAACGUCGUGAAAAUUACGCUAAUACCGCAUACGAACUAUGGAUGAAAGCGGGGGAUCGCAAGACAUCGCGCGAUUGGGGCGGCCGAUUUCAGAUUAGGUAGGUGGUGGGGGAAAGGCCCACCAAGGCAAAGAUAUGUAGAUGGGCUGAGAGGGCGACCAGCCACACUGGGAAUGAGACAAGGUCCAGACCCCUACGGGAGGCAGAAGUGGGGAAUUUUGGACAAUGGGCGAAAGCCUGAUCCAGCCAUUCCGCGUGCAGGAUGAAGGCCCUCGGGUUGUAAACUGCUUUUGUACAGAACGAAAAGGUUUCUACUAAUACUAGGAGCUCAUGACGGUACUGUAAGAAUAAGCACCGGCUAACUACGUGCCAGCCGCCGCAGUAA
This 500-nucleotide ribosomal RNA is filed under the name uncultured bacterium. Its description in RNAcentral is "partial 16S ribosomal RNA". It matches the Rfam family "Bacterial small subunit ribosomal RNA", at positions 30 to 523 of the family's 1533-position model. The record is from RNAcentral.